UACGUAGGGUCCAAGCGUUAUCCGGAAUCACUGGGCGUGAAGCGUGCGUAGGUGGAUGUUUAAGUGUAAUGCGAAAUCCUGUGGCUCAACCAUAUGGACUGUAUUGCAUACUGGGCAUCUAGAGGAUGGUAGAGGCAAGUGGAACUGGCAGUGUAGCAGUGAAAUGCGUAGAUAUUGCCAAGAACACCAAUGGCGAAGGCAGCUUGCUGGGCCACACCUGACACUAAGGCACGAAAGCGUGGGGAGCGAACAGG
This 254-nucleotide ribosomal RNA is filed under the name uncultured bacterium. RNAcentral's name for it is "partial 16S ribosomal RNA". It matches the Rfam family "Bacterial small subunit ribosomal RNA", at positions 524 to 776 of the family's 1533-position model. The record is from RNAcentral.